CUAGUUAUUUGAAAUGCUAGAGAGACUCAUCCCUGCCCAGCAGGCCCGGAAGAAAAGGAGAGAGCUACCUGACCCUCUCCCGCUGCCACAGAUUGAGCCACCCCUGCAGCGAGAGGAUCCUGAACCACCCCAGUAUCAUGUUCCUCCACAGUACCACCCAGCACCACCACAGUAUGAACUGGUGCCACAGCCACAGUACCACCCAGCAGCACCAUAGUAUGGCCCAAUGCCCCAACCGCAUCACCCGGCACCACCACAGUACAAUCCGGUGCCUCCACCGUAUCAUCCAGUACCACCACAGGGCCAUCAAGUCCAUCCCUAGUACAAUCCA
This 331-nucleotide long non-coding RNA is filed under the name Carica papaya (papaya). RNAcentral describes it as "long non-coding RNA (CPAP_LNC008768)". Lineage: Eukaryota; Viridiplantae; Streptophyta; Magnoliopsida; Brassicales; Caricaceae. The record is from RNAcentral.